GCCACCUUAGCUCAGCUGGUAGAGCAGCACUUUCGUAAAGUGAAGGUCCCGAGUUCGAAUCUCGGAGGUGGCU
RNAcentral lists this transfer RNA (73 nucleotides) under Minisyncoccota bacterium. RNAcentral's name for it is "tRNA-Thr". It matches the Rfam family "tRNA". From Rfam's summary of the family: Transfer RNA (tRNA) molecules are approximately 80 nucleotides in length. Their secondary structure includes four short double-helical elements and three loops (D, anti-codon, and T loops). Further hydrogen bonds mediate the characteristic L-shaped molecular structure. tRNAs have two regions of fundamental functional importance: the anti-codon, which is responsible for specific mRNA codon recognition, and the 3' end, to which the tRNAs corresponding amino acid is attached (by aminoacyl-tRNA synthetases). tRNAs cope with the degeneracy of the genetic code in two manners: having more than one tRNA (with a specific anti-codon) for a particular amino acid; and 'wobble' base-pairing, i.e. permitting non-standard base-pairing at the 3rd anti-codon position. RNAcentral also lists the same sequence under 1 other name. The record is from RNAcentral. Lineage: Bacteria; Bacillati; Minisyncoccota.